This 73-nucleotide transfer RNA is filed under the name Canis lupus familiaris (dog). It matches the Rfam family "tRNA". From Rfam's summary of the family: Transfer RNA (tRNA) molecules are approximately 80 nucleotides in length. Their secondary structure includes four short double-helical elements and three loops (D, anti-codon, and T loops). The record is from Rfam by way of RNAcentral. RNAcentral also lists the same sequence under 3 other names. Lineage: Eukaryota; Metazoa; Chordata; Mammalia; Carnivora; Canidae.
ACCUGGCUGGCUCAUUUGGUAGAGUGCGUGACUCUUGACCUUGGAGUUGUGAGUUGGAGCCCCAUGCUAGGUG